This is a non-coding RNA of Myotis davidii, 73 nucleotides long. The record is from Rfam. Lineage: Eukaryota; Metazoa; Chordata; Mammalia; Chiroptera; Vespertilionidae.
ACCUUUUUGGCUCAGUGGAUAGAGCAUCAGCCUGCAGACUGAAGGGUCCCAGGUUCGAUUCCGGUCAAGGGCA